Molecule: unclassified non-coding RNA, 309 nt
Filed under: plant metagenome
Description: partial contains 5.8S ribosomal RNA, internal transcribed spacer 2, and large subunit ribosomal RNA
Rfam family: 5.8S ribosomal RNA (bases 1-105)
Source: RNAcentral
GAAAUGCGAUAAGUAGUGUGUAUUGCAGAAUUCAGUGAAUCAUCGAAUCUUUGAACGCACAUUGCGCCCCUUGGUAUUCCAUGGGGCAUGCCUGUUCGAGCGUCAUUUGUACCCUCAAGCUCUGCUUGGUGUUGGGUGUUUGUCCCGUCUCCGCGCGUGGACUCGCCCCAAAGUGAUUGGCAGCCGGCGUACUGGUCCCGGAGCGCAGCACAUGUCGCGCAAACGAGUGCCUUGGUACGGCGGCGUCCAUAAGCCCCUCUCUCACGCUCUUGACCUCGGAUCAGGUAGGGAUACCCGCUGAACUUAAGC